CCCUUAGAUGUUCUGGGCCGCACACGCGCUACACUGAAGGAGGCAGCGUGUACUCCUGGAUCGAAAGAUUUGGGUAACCCGCGAAUCUCCUUCGUGCUAGGGAUUGAGGUUUGCAAUUCUCCUUCAUGAACGAGGAAUUCCCAGUAAGUGCAAGUCAUAAGCUUGCGCUGACUACGUCCCUGCCCUUUGUACACACCGCCCGUCGCUACUACCGAUUGAAUGAUUUAGUGAGGACUUCGGACUGGGACCGAUGCGGCUUUCGGGCUGCGUCGGUAUUCUGGAAAGAUGUCCAAACUGUAUCAUUUAGAGGAAGUAAAAGUCGUAACA
Molecule: ribosomal RNA, 327 nt
Filed under: uncultured eukaryote
Lineage: Eukaryota
Description: partial 18S ribosomal RNA
Rfam family: Eukaryotic small subunit ribosomal RNA
Source: RNAcentral